RNAcentral lists this ribosomal RNA (1478 nucleotides) under uncultured Bordetella sp. RNAcentral's name for it is "partial 16S-23S ribosomal RNA intergenic spacer". It matches the Rfam family "Bacterial small subunit ribosomal RNA". Lineage: Bacteria; Pseudomonadati; Pseudomonadota; Betaproteobacteria; Burkholderiales; Alcaligenaceae. The record is from RNAcentral.
CAGGUAGUAACAGAGGGUUUGAUUAUGGCUCAGAUUGAACGCUGGCGGGAUGCUUUACACAUGCAAGUCGAACGGCAGCACGGACUUCGGUCUGGUGGCGAGUGGCGAACGGGUGAGUAAUGUAUCGGAAUGCUUAGUAGUGGGGGAUAACUACGCGAAAGCGUAGCUAACAUCGCAUACUACCUUCGGGAAAGGACCUUUCGGGCCUCGCACUAAUAGAGCGGCCGAUAUCGGAUUAGCUAGUUAGGCACGGUCACCAGUACGAUUGAUCCAGUCACAUUUGAGAGGACGACCAGCCACACACUGGGACUGGAGACGGGCCCAGACCCUACGGAGGCAGCAGUGGGGAAUUUUUGGGAUAAUGGGGGAAACUCCUGAUCCAGCCAUCCGCGUGUGCGAUGAAGGCCUUCAAGCUGUGCAAGCACUUUUGCAGGAAGAAAUGGCACGGGAUAAUACCCGUGCAACUGACGGUACCUGCAGAAUGGGCGCACUGAAGAAUUCACGUGCCAGCAGCCGCGUAUGUAGGUGCAAGCGCGUUAAUCGAAAUUACUGGGCGUAAAAGCGUGCGCAGGCGGUUCGGAAAGAAAGAUGUAAAACUGAGUUUUGAAUCUCGGAACUGCAUUUUUAACUACCGAGCUAGAGUGUCAGAGGGAGGUGGAAUUCCGCGUAGCAGUGAAUGUGCGUAGAUAUGUGGAGGAACACCGAUGGCGAAGGCAGCCUCCUGGGAUAACACUGACGCUCAUGCACGAAAGCGUGGGGAGCAAACAGGAUUAGAUACCCUGGUAGUCCACGCCCCAAACGAUGUCAAUCUCGCUGUUGGGGCCUCGGUCGGUAGCGGUGCCAAUGGUGAAGUUGACCGCCUGGGGAGGCGGUCGCAAGAUUAAAACUCAAAGGAAUUGACGGGGACCCGCACAAGCGGUGGAUGAUGUGGAUUAAUUCGAUGCAACGCGAAAACCUUACCUACCCUUGACAUGUCUGAAUCCCGAAGAGAUUUGGGGAGUGCUCGCAAGAGAACUGAACACAGGUGCUGCAUGGCUGUCGUCAGCUCGUGUCGUGAGAUGUUGGGUUAAGUCCCGCAACGAGCGCAACCCUUGUCAUUAGUUGCUACGAAAGGGCACUCUUCAAUGAGACUGCCGGUGACAAACCGGAGAUGGUGGGGAUGACGUCAAGUCCUCAUGGCCUUAUGGGUAGGCCUUCACAUCAAGCCAUACAAUGGCUUCGGAUGAGGUCGCCAACUCGCGAGAGGGGGAGCCAAUCCCAGAAACCCGAUCGUAGUCCGGAUCGCAGUCUGCAACUCGACUGCGUGAAGUCGGAAUCGCUAGUAAUCGCGGAUCAGCAUGUCGCAACAUACCCCUGGCUCCGGUAUACAACGCCCAACACACCAUGGAGUGGGUUUUACCAGAAGUAGUUAGCCUAACCGUAAGGAGGGCGAUUACCACGGUAGGAUUCAUGACUGGGGUGAAGUCGUAACAAGGUAG